UUAAGUGACUAAGCGUACACGGUGGAUGCCUAGGCAGUCAGAGGCGAUGAAGGGCGUGCUAAUCUGCGAAAAGCGUCGGUAAGGUGAUAUGAACCGUUACAACCGGCGAUACCCGAAUGGGGAAACCCAGUGUGUUUCGACACACUAUCAUGUCAUGAAUACAUAGUGGCAUGAGGCGAACCGGGGGAACUGAAACAUCUAAGUACCCCGAGGAAAAGAAAUCAACCGAGAUUCCCCCAGUAGCGGCGAGCGAACGGGGAGGAGCCCAGAACCUGAAUCGGCUUGUGUGUUAGUGGAAGCGUCUGGAAAGUCGCGCAGCAAAGGGUGAUAGCCCCGUACACUAAAAUGCACAGGUCGUGAGUUCGAUGAGUAGGGCGGGACACGUGACAUCCUGUCUGAAUAUGGGGGGACCAUCCUCCAAGGCUAAAUACUCCUGACUGACCGAUAGUGAACCAGUACCGUGAGGGAAAGGCGAAAAGAACCCCGGCGAGGGGAGUGAAAUAGAACCUGAAACCGUGUACGUACAAGCAGUGGGAGCACCUUCGUGGUGUGACUGCGUACCUUUUGUAUAAUGGGUCAGCGACUUAUAUUUUGUAGCAAGGUUAACCGUAUAGGGGAGCCGUAGGGAAACCGAGUCUUAACUGGGCGAAUAGUUGCAAGGUAUAGACCCGAAACCCGGUGAUCUAGCCAUGGGCAGGUUGAAGGUUGGGUAACACUAACUGGAGGACCGAACCGACUAAUGUUGAAAAAUUAGCGGAUGACUUGUGGCUGGGGGUGAAAGGCCAAUCAAACCGGGAGAUAGCUGGUUCUCCCCGAAAGCUAUUUAGGUAGCGCCUCGUGAACUCAUCUUCGGGGGUAGAGCACUGUUUCGGCUAGGGGGCCAUCCCGGCUUACCAAACCGAUGCAAACUCCGAAUACCGAAGAAUGUUAUCACGGGAGACACACGGCGGGUGCUAACGUCCGUCGUGAAGAGGGAAACAACCCAGACCGCCAGCUAAGGUCCCAAAGUCAUGGUUAAGUGGGAAACGAUGUGGGAAGGCAUAGACAGCCAGGAUGUUGGCUUAGAAGCAGCCAUCAUUUAAAGAAAGCGUAAUAGCUCACUGGUCGAGUCGGCCUGCGCGGAAGAUGUAACGGGGCUAAACCAUGCACCGAAGCUGCGGCAGCGACGCUUAGGCGUUGUUGGGUAGGGGAGCGUUCUGUAAGCCGUUGAAGGUGGCCUGUGAGGGUUGCUGGAGGUAUCAGAAGUGCGAAUGCUGACAUAAGUAACGAUAAAGCGGGUGAAAAGCCCGCUCGCCGGAAGACCAAGGGUUCCUGUCCAACGUUAAUCGGGGCAGGGUGAGUCGACCCCUAAGGCGAGGCUGAAAAGCGUAGUCGAUGGGAAACAGGUUAAUAUUCCUGUACUUGGUGUUACUGCGAAGGGGGGACGGAGAAGGCUAGGCUAGCCGGGCGACGGUUGUCCCGGUUUAAGCGUGUAGGGGGUGUGACCUGGUAAAUCCGGUUNCAUAUCAACCCUGAGGCGUGAUGACGAUGCACUACGGUGCAGAAGUAGUUGAUGCCCUGCUUCCAGGAAAAGCCUCUAAGCUCCAGGUAACAUUAAAUCGUACCCCAAACCGACACAGGUGGUCAGGUAGAGAAUACCAAGGCGCUUGAGAGAACUCGGGUGAAGGAACUAGGCAAAAUGGUGCCGUAACUUCGGGAGAAGGCACGCUGGUAUGUAGGUGAAGUCCCUUGCGGAUGGAGCUGAAGCCAGUCGAAGAUACCAGCUGGCUGCAACUGUUUAAUAAAAACACAGCACUGUGCAAACACGAAAGUGGACGUAUACGGUGUGACGCCUGCCCGGUGCUGGAAGGUUAAUUGAUGGGGUCAGCCGCAAGGCGAAGCUCUUGAUCGAAGCCCCAGUAAACGGCGGCCGUAACUAUAACGGUCCUAAGGUAGCGAAAUUCCUUGUCGGGUAAGUUCCGACCUGCACGAAUGGCGUAAUGAUGGCCAGGCUGUCUCCACCCGAGACUCAGUGAAAUUGAACUCGCUGUGAAGAUGCAGUGUACCCGCGGCAAGACGGAAAGACCCCGUGAACCUUUACUAUAGCUUGACACUGAACAUUGAGCCUUGAUGUGUAGGAUAGGUGGGAGGCUUUGAAGCGUGGACGCCAGUCUGCGUGGAGCCAUCCUUGAAAUACCACCCUUUAAUGUUUGAUGUUCUAACUCGGCCCCAUAAUCUGGGGUGAGGACAGUGUCUGGUGGGUAGUUUGACUGGGGCGGUCUCCUCCCAAAGAGUAACGGAGGAGCACGAAGGUUAGCUAAUCACGGUCGGACAUCGUGAGGUUAGUGCAAAGGCAUAAGCUAGCUUGACUGCGAGAGUGACGGCUCGAGCAGGUACGAAAGUAGGUCUUAGUGAUCCGGUGGUUCUGAAUGGAAGGGCCAUCGCUCAACGGAUAAAAGGUACUCCGGGGAUAACAGGCUGAUACCGCCCAAGAGUUCAUAUCGACGGCGGUGUUUGGCACCUCGAUGUCGGCUCAUCACAUCCUGGGGCUGAAGUAGGUCCCAAGGGUAUGGCUGUUCGCCAUUUAAAGUGGUACGCGAGCUGGGUUUAGAACGUCGUGAGACAGUUCGGUCCCUAUCUGCCGUGGGCGUUGGAAGAUUGAGAGGGGUUGCUCCUAGUACGAGAGGACCGGAGUGAACGCACCACUGGUGUUCGGGUUGUCAUGCCAAUGGCAUUGCCCGGUAGCUAAGUGCGGAAAAGAUAAGCGCUGAAAGCAUCUAAGCGCGAAACUUGCCUCAAGAUGAGUCUUCCCUGGGCCUUUAAGGCCCCUGAAGGAACGUUUAAGACUAAGACGUUGAUAGGCUGGGUGUGUAAGUGCAGCGAUGCAUUGAGCUAACCAGUACUAAUGAUCCGUGAGGCUUAACCUU
RNAcentral lists this ribosomal RNA (2906 nucleotides) under Escherichia coli. RNAcentral describes it as "bacterial LSU rRNA". It matches the Rfam family "Bacterial large subunit ribosomal RNA". The record is from RNAcentral. Lineage: Bacteria; Pseudomonadati; Pseudomonadota; Gammaproteobacteria; Enterobacterales; Enterobacteriaceae. RNAcentral also lists the same sequence under 1 other name.